This 500-nucleotide ribosomal RNA is filed under the name uncultured bacterium. RNAcentral's name for it is "partial 16S ribosomal RNA". It matches the Rfam family "Bacterial small subunit ribosomal RNA", at positions 30 to 523 of the family's 1533-position model. The record is from RNAcentral.
AUUGAACGCUGGCGGCAUGCCUUACACAUGCAAGUCGAACGGCAGCACGGGAGCAAUCCUGGUGGCGAGUGGCGAACGGGUGAGUAAUGUAUCGGAACGUACCAUUGAGUGGGGGAGCACGUAGCGAAAGGUACGCUAAUACCGCAUAUACCCUGAGGGGGAAAGCAGGGGAUCGCAAGACCUCGUGCUCUUUGAGCGGCCGAUAUCAGAUUAGCUCGUUGGUGAGGUAAAGGCUCACCAAGGCGACGAGCUGUAGCGGGUCUGAGAGGAUGAUCCGCCACACUGGAACUGAGACACGGUCCAGACUCCUACGGGAGGCAGCAGUGGGGAAUUUUGGACAAUGGGGGCAACCCUGAUCCAGCCAUGCCGCGUGAGUGAAGAAGGCCUUCGGGUUGUAAAGCUCUUUCGGCCGGGAGGAAAUCGCAUCAGCUAAUACCUGGUGUGGAUGACAGUACCGGAAUAAGAAGCACCGGCUAACUACGUGCCAGCCGCCGCAGUAA